GUGCUCGCUUCGGCAGCACAUAUACUAAUUGUUGAAACAAU
This 41-nucleotide small nuclear RNA is filed under the name Cervus elaphus hippelaphus. The record is from RNAcentral. Lineage: Eukaryota; Metazoa; Chordata; Mammalia; Artiodactyla; Cervidae.